Cydia splendana is the source of this 1533-nucleotide long non-coding RNA. RefSeq lists it as uncharacterized. NCBI's taxonomy places the organism in Eukaryota, Metazoa, Arthropoda, Insecta, Lepidoptera, Tortricidae. The record is from RefSeq and is a predicted model, not a curated record. The transcript has 3 exons.
GCUCAUUGCUAAGCUGUUCUCCAUUAGCAAUGGAUAUCAAACAUUUCUUCUUUUUUGUUUCAUGAAGGAGUUCUUGAAUUCCCGCCAGGUGGACCGCUGCGCCACUAUCAACGAUGAAGUCUUCCGAGGACCAAGCGGAGUAGGCCGCAGCAUACAGAGUGUGAUCUUCCUUAUUUGCCUUCGCUUCCUCGCGCUUCCUUUUAAAACAUCUGCGGGCGACAUGUCCAUUACGCCUGCAGUACGAGCAGAAAAGCUUGGUGUUCUUCUUCUUAAUCAUAUAUAUAUGCUGUCGAUGUGUCAUUGUUGUUCUGAAUGUGGCUUUUUCGAUGAUCUUCUUGUAACAGACGAGUACGGACGAUCUCACUAGUAAGUGUGUUUGUUAAUCCAGCAGUUGCCAAACCAGAUAGUAGAACAUUGUAUUCAUCGGGCAAUCCGGAGAGUAAUAUUUCGGCUACUUCGCCGUCUUCAAUAGUCUUCCCUAUAUCAGAAAGUUGGGCGACGAGCUUCAUCACACCUUCUAUUAUACUCAGACAUGCAGGAGAAAUUGUGGUACUCGACUCUAUGUAAUUGUCUUAGUAGGAGUACUUUCCUGUAAAGUCCUUUGUCUUCAAAGGCGUCAGCGAGCUUCUUGCAGGCGUCCUUAGAAGUGGUACAGUCUCUUACUAACUGAUAUAAGCUGGGUUGAACUGAGAGGCAGAUGCUCGCUCGCUCGCUCUCGCGUCCUUGCCGCCGCCCGUAUCCGUACCAUCGACGCAGCCACACAAGUUUUCCAACGUUAGCAUCAUCUUUACAGCAAAUUUCCAGGAUAAAUAAUUAUCGAGGCCAUUCAGCUUUUCAAUUGAAGUAGUAUGAGUAGCAAAAUGAUUUGACUGUGAUUCCGCCAUUUUGAGGAUGUUUGAGGUUAUGUCACCGCGUGAUCGUACAAGUCGACAACUCAAGUUUUAUUCUACAGGAAUACACACAGGUCCUGUUAUUCUAAUUUCUAAACCCUUCCUGGGAUAAAACAGUAACCUUUUAUAGUCUGGACCACUAACCUUUCAGCAAAGUUGAAUGCGCAGGAAGGUUUUCUAAUGGUGGCGGACACAAAUCAAACAAUGCUCUAACGGGCACAAUUAUUAUAUUAAUAUAUUCAUGGUAUGGUACUAUGAUCACACAACGACUGUGAAAUUCAGAGUUGAAAAUUAAAUUAUAUUCAUUAAAAUUAUUUAGGACGAAUCAGGUGACUUACAGCUAAAGGCGGGAUUGAUAUAAAAAAGAAAGAAUCUAUGGUCACCCAGCUUUUUAUAAGGAAGGAGCAUAGACAAGAAUCGGAAAUUAUUUUUUUUCUAACAGUGAGUCAUCAGGUGAACCCGUAAUUGUGCUUUUCUUUUACACUUGUAGGCACAGUGAGUACACCUGAAAGAUUUAUGGUCUGUGUGAGUCAUCAGGUGACUCUGUAACCGUCCUUUUCUUCUACACUUGUAGCUACAGUGACUACAACUGAAAGGCUUCUCGUCUGUGUGAGUUCAUCAGGUGUUUCUGUAGAUCUGCUUU